Molecule: transfer RNA, 71 nt
Filed under: Cordylochernes scorpioides
Lineage: Eukaryota; Metazoa; Arthropoda; Arachnida; Pseudoscorpiones; Chernetidae
Description: tRNA-Asp
Rfam family: tRNA
About the family: Transfer RNA (tRNA) molecules are approximately 80 nucleotides in length. Their secondary structure includes four short double-helical elements and three loops (D, anti-codon, and T loops).
Source: RNAcentral
UCAUCGGUGGUUCAGUGGUAGAAUGCUCGCCUGUCAUCCGGGUGGCCUGGGUUCGAUUUCCGGCCGAUUCU